AGUGAACGCUGGCGGUAGGCCUAACACAUGCAAGUCGAACGGCAGCACAGUAAGAGCUUGCUCUUACGGGUGGCGAGUGGCGGACGGGUGAGGAAUACAUCGGAAUCUACUUUUUCGUGGGGGACAACGUAGGGAAACUUACGCUAAUACCGCAUACGACCUACGGGUGAAAGCAGUGGAUCUUCGGACCUUGCGCGAUUGAUUGAGCCGAUGUCGGAUUAGCUAGUUGGCGGGGUAAAGGCCCACCAAGGCGACGAUCCGUAGCUGGUCUGAGAGGAUGAUCAGCCACACUGGAACUGAGACACGGUCCAGACUCCUACGGGAGGCAGCAGUGGGGAAUAUUGGACAAUGGGCGCAAGCCUGAUCCAGCCAUACCGCGUGGGUGAAGAAGGCCUUCGGGUUGUAAAGCCCUUUUGUUGGGAAAGAAAAGCAGCAGGUUAAUACCCCGCUGUUCUGACGGUACCCAAAGAAUAAGCACCGGCUAACUUCGUG
This 492-nucleotide ribosomal RNA is filed under the name uncultured bacterium. Its description in RNAcentral is "partial 16S ribosomal RNA". It matches the Rfam family "Bacterial small subunit ribosomal RNA", at positions 29 to 507 of the family's 1533-position model. The record is from RNAcentral.